CAAAUCAUGACGCUGCACCCCACGGUUUACGUUGUAGGGGGCGCCAAAGAUAACCCAAAAAUCCACAUUCUUACAAGUCUUAUAACUUUUUAUUUCUGUCCUCACUGGCCUCCAAGUUUUCUAGGAUGAUGCAAUGUCCAGCCAUCAACACAUUUGUGAAGGAAUUUUUACUCCCCAAAAGAGCGCCCCCCCAUGGCAGGAGAAAAAAGGCCAUUUUUUCUUGUCCUAUAAGGUGAAAAUACACAUUGUUGAGUGUCACGCCUGUACGCUUUGUCAUAUUGAAACAAAAUUUGAUAAUCACGUGUAUCUCAAUAAGAUCUACGAAAAAAACAAUGCGCACGUGUCUGCAAAAUGUACGGUUAAAGGGCUGUUUCGCAUUUUUGGUUGAUUCGCACACAUUGGAAUGUGGCUAACUCCUCCUAAAGCUUUCGUUCCACCGGCACCAAAUUUGCUCAGGCCAAUCUACACCCCAUGGCCAUUAAAAGUUGUACAAAUCAUGAUGCUGCACCCCACGGUUUACGUUCUAGGGGUCGCCAAAGAUAACCCAAAAAUCCACAUUCUUAAAAGUCUUAUAACUUUUCAUUUUUGUCCUCAUUGGCUUCAAAGUUUUCUAGGAUGAUGCAAUGUCUAGCCAUCAACACAUUUGUGAAGGAAUUUUUUCUCCCCAAAAGAGCGCCCCCCCAUGGCAGGAGAAAAAGUCAAGUUUUUCCUGCCCAUCGCUCAAUGGCUCAAACACAUCGCUCUCUCGGAAAAAAACGAAAGGAGGAGGAACUUGCCAUUUGGAUAUAUCCUAGCUGUGUUUGUGCCCUCACUCAUGGUCCAGACUUUUUUCAAAUAGGACAUGUAGUUUGUCUGCAGCAAGCGUUUUGGUAGAAACUGCGCCUCCCAUUCAUUAUAAUGGUAAAUGACCACAGACAAGUGCGCACACCAUCGUUGAACCUUGAGUGUGACGCGAUCGGGAGGGAGAGGCGGUCGUGUUGGGGGCGGCGUGACACAGCUCGGGCCCGCCAGUGCCCCAACGGGGCCCUAGUUAUUAUUAUUAUUAUUUUUCCUCCGCUUUAAACUGGAAAAUGGCCCACUUCCCACUGGCGAAAACUCAUGAAAUUUGGCAGGACGACCGGGCCUGGUGAAAAAUUCGAUAUUCUGAAGUCGCCCAAACAAUAAAAUGCAAAAUGGCUCCAUAGCGCCCCCUAAGGUGGAAAUUCACACUAUUGACUGUCACGUCUGUACGUUUUGUCAUAUUGACACAAAAAUUGACACACAUAUGUAUCUCAAUAAGAUCUACAAAAAAGUCAGUGCGGGCGUAUCUGUCAAAUGUACGGUUAAAGGGUUAUUUCGCAUUUUUUGCCGAUCCGCACACAUUGGAAUUUCGCUAACUCCUCCGAAGGCUUUCGUUCCACCGGCACCACAUUUGCUCAGGCCAGUCUACACCCCAUGGCCAUUAAAAGUUGUACAAAUCAUGACGCUGCACCCCACGGUUUAGGUUCUAGGGGGCGCCAAAGAUAACCCAAAAAUCCACAUUCUUAAAAGUCUUAUAACUUUUUAUUUUUGUCCUCACUGCCCUCCAAGUUUUCUAGGAUGAUGCAAUGUCCAGCCAUCAACACAUUUGUGAAGGAAUUUUUACUCCCCAAAAGAGCGCCCCCCCAUGGCAGGAGAAAAAAGUCAAUUUUUUCUUGUCCCCUUACAUGAAAAUACACAUUGUUGAGUGUCACGCCUGAACGCUUUGUCAUAUUGACACAAAAAUUGACAAUCAUGUGUAUCUCAAUUAGAUCUACGAAAAAGUCAAAGAGCGCGUAUCUGUAUAAUGUACGGUUAAAGGGCUAUUUCGCAUUUUUUGCCGAUUCGCACACAUUGGAAUGUGGCUAUCUCCUCCUAAGGCUUUCGUCCCACUGAUACCAAAUUUGCUCAGGGCAAUCUACACCCCAUGCCCAUUCAAAGUUGUAAAAAUCAUGACGCUGCACCCCACGGUUUACGUUCUAGGGGGUGCCAAAGAUGACCCAAAAAUCCACAUUCUUAAAAGUCAUUUUGGCCACUGCAGGAGUACAGAGUACUGCAGUUCUAGGGGGCGCCAAAGAUGACCCAAAAAUCCACAUUCUUAAAAGUCUUUUUGGCCACUGCAGGAGUACAGAGUACUGCAGGAUACACACACAUAUACACACACGCCACACACACACACACACACACACACACACACACACACACACACACACACACUCAGAGUCUGUUUUUUAGCACCUGCAAAAACAUGCUGUUUACAUAUUUGACAAGAAUGCAGAGGCUUCCUUUUGCCCCUGAAAAAAAUCAGAUUUCAAACACAACUUGACUGUUCAUUUCUCCAAAAGACAACCAUGAAGCUCCAUCCAAACCUGAAGCAGAUAGUUGGUGCAUGUGUACAGUAACCUGAGGGGAGUGAGGUGACUAUUUCUGAGGAGAACAUGAGCAGUGAAGAUUCACCUUGGAGCUAGAACAGGGACGUGCACAUGAUUAUACAGGGGCAGGGGCUCAAGUUUUUUCCAGUCAUUUAUACAAUAUGGAAAUUAAUGUGAAAUUAAAAAACAAAGUAUUAAUAGAAAGGUAAUGACUGUCCUGUGUAGGUGACAGUGAUAUCCAAUAGGCUAGGCACUCACGAGGCUGGCUGUGGCAAGUGUAAGUGAAAGCAACACGCACUGGCAGGAAGAACAGCAAACGCCGAUGAAGGAAAGGGUCUUUGCAGUGAUGGGCGUUACCAGAGAGGACGAUGGCCAGAGGACGCGAAUGGGACGGGGAGGCAGCGCGUUGGGGGGGGCAGCGCGACACGGCUCGGGCCCGCCAGUGCCCCAACGGGGCCCUAGUUAUUAUUUUUCCUCCGCUUUAAACUGGAAAAUGGCCCACUUCCCACUGGCGAAAACUCAGGAAAUUUGGCAGGACGACCGGGCCUGGUGAAAAAUUCGAUGUUCUGAAGUCGCCCAAACAAUAAAAUGCAAAAUGGCUCCAUAGCGCCCCCUAAGGUGAAAAUUCACAUGACGGCUGUACGCUUUGUCAUAUUGACACAAAAAUUGACACACACAUGUAUCUCAAUAAGUUCUACAAAAAAGUCAGUGCGGGCUUAUCUGUCAAAUGUACGGUUAAUGGGUUAUUUUGCAUUUUUUGCAGAUCUGCACACAUUGGAAUUUCGCUAACUCCUCCGAAGGCUUUCGUUCGACCGGCACCACAUUUGCGCAGGCCAAUCAACCCCCCAUGGCCAUUAAAAGUUGUACAAAUCAUGACGCUGCACCCCACGGUUUACGUUCUAGGGGGCGCCAAAGAUAACCCAAAAUCCACAUUCUUAAAAGUCUUAUAACUUUUUAUUUUUGUCCUCACUGCCCUCCAAGUUUUCUAGGAUGAUGCAAUGUCCAGCCAUCAACACAUUUGUGAAGGAAUUUUUACUCCCCAAAAGAGCGCCCCCCCAUGGCAGGAGAAAAAAGUCAAUUUUUUCUUGUCCCCUUACAUGAAAAUACACAUUGUUGAGUGUCACGCCUGAACGCUUUGUCAUAUUGACACAAAAAUUGACAAUCAUGUGUAUCUCAAUUAGAUCUACGAAAAAGUCAAAAAGCGCAUAUCUGUAUAAUGUACGGUUAAAGGGCUAUUUCGCAUUUUUUGCCGAUUCGCACACAUUGGAAUGUGGCUAUCUCCUCCUAAGGCUUUCGUCCCACCGAUACCAAAUUUGCUCAGGGCAAUCUACACCCCAUGCCCAUUCAAAGUUGUAAAAAUCAUGACGCUGCACCCCACGGUUUACGUUCUAGGGGGCGCCAAAGAUGACCCAAAAAUCCACAUUCUUAAAAGUCAUUUUGGCCACUGCAGGAGUACAGAGUACUGCAGGAUACACACACAUAUACACACACACACACACACACACACACACUCAGAGUCUGUUUUUUAGCACCUGCAAAAACAUGCUGUUUACAUAUUUGACAAGAAUGCAGAGGCUUCCUUUUGCCCCUGAAAAAAAUCAGAUUUCAAACACAACUUGACUGUUCAUUUCUCCAAAAGACAACCAUGAAGCUCCAUCCAAACCUGAAGCAGAUAGUUGGUGCAUGUGUACAGUAACCUGAGGGGAGUGAGGUGACUAUUUCUGAGGAGAACAUGAGCAGUGAAGAUUCACCUUGGAGCUAGAACAGGGACGUGCACAUGAUUAUACAGGGGUAGGGGCUCAAGUUUUUUCCAGUCAUUUAUACAAUAUGGAAAUUAAUGUGAAAUUAAACCACAAAUAUGUGUGAUGAACUGUUUUUAAAACUUAAACUUCAAAUAAAAAUUGUAAACUUCAAAACAUAUGCAAAUUUUUAACAAAGAACAUAGUAAUUUACCUCUAUUUACAUCAAAAUGCAGGCAAUGGCCCAGGCGUUCUUUGUAAAAUUAUUUACAAAACACUGUAUAGUCUCACAAAUGUCACUUUUUAUUUAUGCCACUACAAAAAAACAUGAUGUAAAUGAUGCAUGAUGUAAAACAUGAUGUAAAAAACUUGUGUAGAUCCUCCUCUAUGUCAGUCCAUGUGUAAUUUUUCCAUAAUUCUUUGUUUUUUGCAGCAUUUUUGUUAGUGUAACUGCAGAUUGUGCUGACAGUCUAUGGCAAAAAAAACAAAAACUGAAAAUGCCUCAACAUGAACCCCUGGUGGUCUCUGAGGGUGAAACCUGCUAACUGCUGCAGCUCUGUCAGCUUCAGUCUCCCAUGCAGAGCUCGGAGCGCAUGUGUGGCUCUGCACCCUUAGCAGCGUUGCUAACUCCUCAGUAAGGAAAGCCUGCUUCAUGUCAGAGUCUCUAAACUCCAGAAGAAGUCGAUAAAAGUCCCUUUCUUUCUAAAAAAAAGUCGUUAGGGGGUCUGAAAAGUAAUUGAAUCUAACAACAAAGUCGCUAGGUUUGCAACUACGUGUCCCAGACUGCAUCCCUGCUGAGAGUCCCUCCCUCCCUUCUCAUGUUGCAGGAAGAACGUAAGCGCCCGCCCCUUGUCAUUCAGUCACCAUAUAAUUUUGGAUUGGUUGUUGUGGUGAAGUUUUCCACCAAUAGGAGAGAUGUUGUGGUGUGUUUUUUUUUUCUUUUGGCAAGCCUUUUCCGCCUGUAAGACCUGUCGCUAAUGUGUGCAUGCUAUGUUUUCCUGUCUCAUACAGCGCGAUCGAGCGCCGAACGUGAUCAAAAUAAGCAGAAAAAAAGUAUCGCGGACAUAAUUUAUCAUAACUCUGGUUUUAUUUGGCCUAUCAACACAAUUUAAAAACUGGUAUAUAGGUUGAGGUCCUCACUUUUGAGAUAAGUUGAAACGGAGAGUUAACGAGGCUCCGUCUUGCAGCUACAUCCGGUUAAAUAUGUCAUGUGACUUGAACGCUGGGGAGCGUCAAUCGAAUCGAAUCAAACCUAACUCUCAGAUGAAUCUUCAAAAUUCACCUCAGAAAUAUGCUUAUUAUUCUUCUCAGAGUACUGCAGGAUACACACACAGACACACACACACACACGCACACACACACACACACACACACACACACACACACACACACACUCGGAGUCUGUUUUUUAGCACCUGCAAAAACAUGCUAUUUACAUAUUUGACAAGAAUGCAGAGGCUUCCUUUUGCCCCUGAAAAAAAUCAAAUUUCAAACACAACUUGACUGGUCAUUUCUCCAAAAGACAACCAUGAAGCUCCAUCCAAACCUGAAGCAGGCAGUUGGUGCAUGUGUACAGUAACCUGAGGGGAGUGAGGUGACUGCUUCUGAGGAGAACAUGAGCAGUGAAGAUUCACCUUGGAGCUAGAACAGGGACGUGCACAUGAUAAUACAGGGGCAGGGGCUCAAGUUUUUUCCAGUCGUUUAUACAAUAUGGAAAUUAAUGUGAAAUUAAAAAACAAAGUAUGACUGUCCUGUGUAGGUGACAGUGAUAUCCAAUAGGCUAGGCACUCACGAGGCUGGCUGUGGCAAGUGUAAGUGAAAGCAACACGCACUGGCAGGAAGAACAGCAAACGCAGAUGAAGGAAAAGGGUCUUUGCUGUGAUGGGCGUUACCAGAGAGGGCGAUGGCCAGAGGACACGAAUGGGACGGGGAGGCAGCGCGUUGGGGGGGGGGGGGGUGCGACACGGCUCGGGCCCGCCAGUGCCCCAACGGGGCCCUAGUUAGGGCCCGAGCGUAGCUGCUAAGCAGCUGCGAGAGCCCUCUUGUUCCUGCAUGUUUCCUUCUUUCGUUAUUAUUUUUCCUCCGCUUUAAACUGGAAAAUGGCCCACUUCCCACUGGCGAAAACUCAGGAAAUUUGGCAGGACGACCGGGCCUGGUGAAAAAUUCGAUAUUCUGAAGUCGCCCAAACAAUAAAAUGCAAAAUGGCUCCAUAGCGCCCCCUAAGGUGAAAAUUCACAUGACGGCUGUACGCUUUGUCAUAUUGACACAAAAAUUGACACACACAUGUAUGUCAAUAAGAUCUACAAAAAAGUCAGUGCGGGCGUAUCUGUCAAAUGUACGGUUAAUGGGUUAUUUUGCAUUUUUUGCAGAUCUGCACACAUUGGAAUUUCGCUAACUCCUCCGAAGGCUUUCGUUCGACCGGCACCACAUUUGCGCAGGCCAAUCUACCCCCCAUGGCCAUUAAAAGUUGUACAAAUCAUGACGCUGCACCCCACGGUUUACGUUCUAGGGGGCGCCAAAGAUAACCCAAAAUCCACAUUCGUAAAAGUCUUAUAACUUUUUAUUUUUGUCCUCACUGCCCUCCAAGUUUUCUAGGAUGAUGCAAUGUCCAGCCAUCAACACAUUUGUGAAGGAAUUUUUACUCCCCAAAAGAGCGCCCCCCCAUGGCAGGAGAAAAAAGUCAAUUUUUUCUUGUCCCCUAAGGUGAAAAUACACAUUGUUGAGUGUCACGCCUAUACGCUUUGUCAUAUUGACCCAAAAUUUGACAAUCACGUGUAUCUCAAUAAGAUCUACGAAAAAGUCAAUGGGCACGUAUCUGUAAAAUGUACGGUUAAAGGGUUAUGUCGCAUUUUUUCCCGAUCCGCACACAUUGGAAUUUCGCUAACUUCUCCGAAGGCUUUCGUUCCACCGCCACCAAAUUUGCUCAGGCCAAUCUACACCCCAUGGCCAUUCAAAGUUGUACAAAUCAUGAUGCUGCACUCCACAGUUUAGGUUCUAGGGGGCGCCAAACAUAACCCUAAAAUCCACAUUCUUAAUAGUCUUAUAACUUUUUAUUUUUGUCCUCACUGGCCUCCAAGUUUUCUAGGAUGAUGCAAUGUCCAGCCAUCAACACAUUUGUAAAGGAAUUUUUACUCUCGAAAAGAGCGCCCCCCCCAUGGCAGGAGAAAAAAGUCAAUUUUUUCUUGUCCCCUAAGGUGAAAAAACACAUUGUUGAGUGUCACUCCUAUACGCUUUGUCAAAAUGACACAAAAUUUGACACACACGUGUAUCUCAAUAAGAUCUACGAAAAAGUCAAUGUGCACGCAUCUGUAAAAUGUACAGUCAAAGGGCUAUUUCGCAUUUUUUCCCGAUCCGCACACAUUGGAAUUUCGCUAACUCCUCCUAAGGCUUUCGUCCCACCGACACCAAAUUUGCUCAAGCAGAUCUACAUCCCAUGGCCAUUCAAAGUUGUAAAAAUCAUGACGCUGCACCCCACGGUUUACGUUCUAAGGGGCGCCAAAGAUGACCCUAAAAUCCACAUUCUUAAUAGUCUUAUAACUUUUUAUUUUUGUCCUCACUGGCCUCCAAGUUUUCUAGGAUGAUGCAAUGUCCAGCCAUCAACACAUUUGUAAAGGAAUUUUUACUCUCGAAAAGAGCGCCCCCCCAUGGCAGGAGAAAAAAGUCAAUUUUUUCUUGUCCCCUAAGGUGAAAAAACACAUUGUUGAGUGUCACUCCUAUACACUUUGUCAAAAUGACACAAAAUUUGACACACACGUGUAUCUCAAUAAGAUCUACGAAAAAGUCAAUGUGCACGCAUCUGUAAAAUGUACAGUCAAAGGGCUAUUUCGCAUUUUUUCCCGAUCCGCACACAUUGGAAUUUCGCUAACUCCUCCUAAGGCUUUCGUCCCACCGAAACCAAAUUUGCUCAAGCAGAUCUACAUCCCAUGGCCAUUCAAAGUUGUAAAAAUCAUGACUCCCCUUCGCUCUCUUCGGCAAAACCGAAAGGAGGAGCAACUUGCCAUUUGGAUAUAUACUAGCUGUGUUUCUGCCCUCACUCAUGGUCCAGACGUUUUUCAAAUAGGACAUGGAGUUUUUCUGCAGCGAGCGUUUUGGUAGAAACUGCGCCUCCCAUUCAUUAUAACGGUAAAUGACCACAGACAAGUGCACACACCAUCUUUCGACCUUGAGUGUGACGCGAUCAGGAAGGGGAGGCGGUCGCGCUGGGGGCGGUGCGACAUGGCUCGGGCCCGCCAGUGCCCCAACGGGGCCCUAGUUCUUCUUUAGGGCCCGAGCGUAGCUGCUAAGCAGCUGCGAGAGCCCUCUUGUUCCUGAUGGAUUCUUCUUUUGUUAUUAUUUAGGGCCCGAGCGUAGCUGCUAAGCAGCUGCGAGAGCCCUCUUGUUCCUGAUGGAUUCUUCUUUCGUUAUUUUUCCUCCGCUUUAAACUGGAAAAUGGCCCACUUCCCACUGGCGAAAACUCAGGAAAUUUGGCAGGACGACCGGGCCUGGUGAAAAAUUCGAUAUUCUGAAGUCGCCCAAACAAAAAAAUGAAAAAUGGCUCCAUAGCGCCCCCUAUGGUGAAAACUCACCUGACGCCUGUACGCUUUGUCAAAAUGACACAAAAAUUGACACACAUGUGUAUCUCAAUAAGAUCUACAAAAAAGUCAGUGCGGGCGUAUCUGUCAAAUGUACCGUUAAAGGGCUAUUUCGCAUUUUUUGCCGAUCCGCACACAUUGGAAUUUCGCUAACUCCUCCGAAGGCUUUCCUUCCACCGGUACCAAAUUUGCUCAGGCCAAUCUACACCCCAUGGCCAUUAAAAGUUGUACAAAUCAUGACGCUGCACCCCACGGUUUAGGUUCUAGGGGGCGCCAAAGAUAACCCAAAAAGCCACAUUCUUAAAAGUCUUAUAACUUUUUAUUUUUGUCCUCACUGGCCUCCAAGUUUUCUAGGAUGAUGCAAUGUCCAGCCAUCAACACAUUUGUGAAGGAAUUUUUACUCCCCAAAAGAGCGCCCCCCCAUGGCAGUAGAAAAAAGUCCAUUUUUUCUUGUCCCCUAAGGUGAAAAUACACAUUGUUGAGUGUCACGCCUAAACGCUUUGUCAUAUUGACACAAAAUUUGACAAUCACGUGUAUCUCAAUAAGAUCUACGAAAAAGUCAAAGAGCGCGUAUCUGUAUAAUGUACGGUAAAAGGGCUAUUUUGCAUUUUUUGCCGAUCCGCACACAUUGGAAUUUCACUAACUCCUCCGAAGGCUUUCAUUCCACCGACACCAAAUUUGCUCAGGCCAAUCUACACCCCAUGGCCAUUAAAAGUUGUACAAAUCAUGAUGCUGCACCCCACGGUUUACGUUCUAGGGGGCGCCAAAGAUGACCCAAAUAUCCACAUUCUUAAAAGUCUUAUAACUUUUUAUUUUUGUCCUCACUGGCCUCCAAGUUUUCUUGGACGAUGCAAUGUCCAGCCAUCAACACAUUUGUGAAGGAAUUUUUACUCCCCAAAAGAGCGCCCCCCAUGGCAGGAGAAAAAAGUCCAUUUUUUCUUGUCCCCUAAGGUGAAAAUACGCACUGUUGAGUGUCACGCCUGUACGCUUUGUCAAAAUGACACAAAAAUUGACACACACAUGUAUCUCAAUAAGAUCUACGAAAAAGUCAAUGCACGCGUAUCUGUCAAAUGUACGGUUAAAGGGUUAUUCCGCAUUUUUUGCUGAUCCGCACACAUUGGAAUGUGGCUAACUCCUCUGAAGGCUUUCGUUCCAUCGGCACCAAAUUUGCUGAGGCCAAUCUACACCCCAUGGCCAUUAAAAGUUAUUCAAAUCAUGACGCUGCACCCCACGGUUUACGUUCUAGGGGGCGCCAAAGAUGACACAAAUAUCCACAUAUUUAAAAGUCUUAUAACUUUUUAUUUUCGUCCUCACUGGCCUCCAAGUUUUCUAGGAUGAUGCAAUGUCCAAAUAUCCACAUUCUUAAAAGAAUCUACAUCCCCCCCCCCAUCCCCCAAGUUUUUCCUGCCCAUCACUCAAUGGCUCAAUCGCAUCGCUCUCCCGGCAACACCGUAAUGAGGAGCAACUUGCCGUUUGGAUAUAUCCUAGCUGUGUUUGUGCCCUCACUCAUGGUCCAGACUUUUUUCAAAUAGGACAUGUAGUUUGUCUGCAGCGAGUGUUUUGGUAGAAACUGCGCCUCCCAUUCAUUAUAAUGGGAAAUGACCACAGACAAGUGCGCACACCAUCUUUGGACCUUGAGUGUGACGCGAUCGGGAGGGGGAGGCGGUCGCGCUGGGGGCGGCUCGACGCGGCUCGGGCCCGACAGUGCCCCACCGGGGCCCUAGUAUUAUUAUUUUUCCUCCGCUUUAAACUGGAAAAUGGCCCACUUCCCACUGGCGAAAACUCAUGAAAUUUGGCAGGACGACCGGGCCUGGUGAAAAAUUCGAUAUUCUGAAGUCGCCCAAACAAUAAAAUGCAAAAUGGCUCCAUAGCGCCCCCUAAGGUGGAAAUUCACACUAUUGACUGUCACGUCUGUACGUUUUGUCAUAUUGACACAAAAAUUGACACACAUAUGUAUCUCAAUAAGAUCUACAAAAAAGUCAGUGCGGGCGUAUCUGUCAAAUGUACGGUUAAAGGGUUAUUUCGCAUUUUUUGCCGAUCCGCACACAUUGGAAUUUCGCUAACUCCUCCGAAGGCUUUCGUUCCACCGGCACCACAUUUGCUCAGGCCAGUCUACACCCCAUGGCCAUUAAAAGUUGUACAAAUCAUGACGCUGCACCCCACGGUUUAGGUUCUAGGGGGCGCCAAAGAUAACCCAAAAAUCCACAUUCUUAAAAGUCUUAUAACUUUUUAUUUUUGUCCUCACUGCCCUCCAAGUUUUCUAGGAUGAUGCAAUGUCCAGCCAUCAACACAUUUUUGAAGGAAUUUUUACUCCCCAAAAGAGCGCCCCCCCAUGGCAGGAGAAAAAAGUCAAUUUUUUCUUGUCCCCUUACAUGAAAAUACACAUUGUUGAGUGUCACGCCUGAACGCUUUGUCAUAUUGACACAAAAAUUGACAAUCAUGUGUAUCUCAAUUAGAUCUACGAAAAAGUCAAAGAGCGCGUAUCUGUAUAAUGUACGGUUAAAGGGCUAUUUCGCAUUUUUUGCCGAUUCGCACACAUUGGAAUGUGGCUAUCUCCUCCUAAGGCUUUCGUCCCACUGAUACCAAAUUUGCUCAGGGCAAUCUACACCCCAUGCCCAUUCAAAGUUGUAAAAAUCAUGACGCUGCACCCCACGGUUUACGUUCUAGGGGGCGCCAAAGAUGACCCAAAAAUCCACAUUCUUAAAAGUCAUUUUGGCCACUGCAGGAGUACAGAGUACUGCAGUUCUAGGGGGCGCCAAAGAUGACCCAAAAAUCCACAUUCUUAAAAGUCUUUAUGGCCACUGCAGGAGUACAGAGUACUGCAGGAUACACACACAUAUACACACACGCCAACACACACACACACACACACACACACACACACACACACACACACACACACACACACACUCAGAGUCUGUUUUUUAGCACCUGCAAAAACAUGCUGUUUACAUAUUUGACAAGAAUGCAGAGGCUUCCUUUUGCCCCUGAAAAAAAUCAAAUUUCAAACACAACUUGACUGGUCAUUUCUCCAAAAGACAACCAUGAAGUUCCAUCCAAACCUGAAGCAGAUAGUUGGUGCAUGUGUACAGUAACCUGAGGGGAGUGAGGUGACUAUUUCUGAGGAGAACAUGAGCAGUGAAGAUUCACCUUGGAGCGAGAACAGGGACGUGCACAUGAUUAUACAGGGGCAGGGGCUCAAGUUUUUUCCAGUCAUUUAUACAAUAUGGAAAUUAAUGUGAAAUUAAAAAACAAAGUAUUAAUAGAAAGGUUAUGACUGUCCUGUGUAGAUGACAGUGAUAUCCAAUAGGCUAGGCACUCACGAGGCUGGCUGUGGCAAGUGUAAGUGAAAGCAACACGCACUGGCAGGAAGAACAGCAAACGCCGAUGAAGGAAAAGGGUCUUUGCAGUGAUGGGCGUUACCAGAGAGGGCGAUGGCCAGAGGAAACAAAUGGGACGGGGAGGCAGCGCGUUGGGGGGGGGGACGCGACACAGCUCGGGCCCGCCAGUGCCCCAACGGGGUCCUAGUUAGGGCCCGAGCGUAGCUGCUAAGCAGCUGCGAGAGCCCUAUUGUUCCUGUAUCGGUUUUUCUUUCUUCUUUCUUUCUUUCUUUCUUUCUUCUUAUUUUUCCUCCCCUUUGAACUGGAAAAAAACUCACUUCCCACUGGCGAAAACUCAUGAAAUUUGGCAGGACGACCGGGCCUGGUGAAAAAUUCGAUAUUCUGAAGUCGCCUAAACAAUAAAAUGCAAAAUGGCUCCAUAGCGCCCCCAAAGGUGAAAAUUCACACCAUUGACUGUCACGCCUGUACGCUUUGUCAAAAUGACACAAAAUUUGACACACAUAUGUAUCUCAAUAAGAUCUACGAAAAAAUCAGCGCGGGCGUAUCUGUCAAAUGUACGGUUAAAGGUUUAUUUCGCAUUUUUUGCCGAUCCGCACACAUUGGAAUUUCGCUAACUCCUCCGAAGGCUUUUGUUCCACUGGCACCACAUUUGCUCAGGUCAAUCUACACCCCAUGGCCAUUAAAAGUUGUACAAAUCAUGACGCUGCACCCCGCGGUUUAGGUUCUAGGGGGCGCCAAAGAUGACCCAAAAAUCCACAUUCUUAAAAGUCUUAUAACUUUUUAUUUUUGUCCCCACUGGCCUUGAAGUUCUCUAGGAUGAUGCAAUGUCCAGCCAUCAACACAUUUGUGGAGGAAUUUUUACUCCCCAAAAGAGCGCCCCCCCAUGGCAGGAGAAAAAAGGCCAUUUUUUCUUGUCCCCUAAGGUGAAAAUACACAUUGUUGAGUGUCACACCUGUACGCUUUGUCAUAUUGACACAAAAUUUGACAAUCACGUGUAUCUCAAUAAGAUCUACGAAAAAGUCAAUGCGGGCGUAUCUGUCAAAUGUACGGUUAAAGGGCUAUUUCGCAUUUUUUGCCAAUUCGCACACAUUGGAAUGUGGCUAACUCCUCCUAAAGCUUUCGUCCCAUCAACACCAAAUGUGCUCAGGCCAAUCUACACCCCAUGGCCAUUCAAAGUUGUAAAAAUCAUGAUGCUGCACCCAACGGUUUACGUUCUAGGGGGCGCCAAAGAUAACCCAAAAAUCCACAUUUUCAAAAGUCUUAUAACUUUUUAUUUUUGUCCUCACUGGCCUCCAAGUUUUCUAGGAUAAUGCAAUGUUCAGCCAUUAACACAAUUGUGAAGGAAUUUUUACUCCCCAAAAGAGCGCCCCCCAUGGCAGGAGAAAAAGUCAAGGUUUUCCUGCCCAUCGCUCAAUGGCUCAAACGCAUCGCUCUCUCGGCAAAACCGAAAGGAGGAGCAACUUGCCAUUUGGAUAUAUCCUAGCUGUGUUUGUGCCCUCACUCAUGGUCCAGACUUUUUUCAAAAAGGACAUGGAGUUUUUCUGCAGCGAGCAUUUUGGUAGAAACUGCGCCUCCCAUUCAUUAUAAUGGUAAAUGACCACAGACAAGUGCGCACACCAUCUUUGGACCUUGAGUGUGAGGCGAUCGGAAGGGGGGCGGUCGCGAUGGGGGCGGCACAACACGGCUCGGGCCCGCCAGUGCCCCAACGGGGCCCUAGUCUUCUUAUUAGGGCCCGAGCGUAGCUGCUAAGCAGCUGCGAGAGCCCUCUUGUUCCUGAUGGAUUCUUCUUUCGUUAUUUUUCCUCCGCUUUAAACUGGAAAAUGGCCCACUUCCCACUGGCGAAAACUCAUGAAAUUUGGCAGGACGACCGGGCCUGGUGAAAAAUUCGAUAUUCUGAAGUCGCCCAAACAAUAAAAUGCAAAAUGGCUCCAUAGCGCCCCCUAAGGUGAAAAUUCACAUGCGGGCUGUACGCUUUGUCAAAAUGACACAAAAAUUGACACACACAUGUAUCUCAAUAAGAUCUACAAAAAAGUCAGUGCGGGCGUAUCUGUCAAAUGUACGGUUAAAGGGUUAUUUCGCAUUUUUUGCAGAUCUGCACACAUUGGAAUUUCGCUAACUCCUCCGAAGGCUUUCGUUCCACCGGCACCACAUUUGCGCAGGCCAAUCUACCCCCCAUGGCCAUUAAAAGUUGUACAAAUCAUCUUGCUGCACCCCACGGUUUAGGUUCUAGGGGGCGCCAAAGAUAACCCAAAAAUCCAAAGUGUUAAAAGUCUUAUAACUUUUUAUUUUUCUCCAAACUGGCCUCCAAGUUUUCUAGGAUGAUGCAAUGUCCAGCCAUCAACACAUCUGUGAACAAAUUUUUACUCCCCAAAAGAGCGCCCCCCAUGGCAGGAGAAAAAAGUCCAUUUUUUCUUGUCCCGUAAGGUGAAAAUACACAUUUUUGAGUGUCACCCCUGUACCCUUUGUCAUAUUGACACAAAAUUUGACAAUAACGUGUAUCUCAAUAAGAUCUACGAAAAAGUCAAAGGGCACAUAUCUGUCAAAUGUACGGUUAAAGGGCUAUUUUGCAUUUUUUGCCGAUUCGCACACAUUGGAAUUUCGCUAACUCCUCCGAAGGCUAUCUUUCUACCGGCACCAAAUUUGCUCAGGCUAAUCUACACCCCAUGGCCAUUAAAAGUUGUACAAAUCAUGAUGCUGCCCUCCACGGUUUAGGUUCUAGGGGGCGCCAAAGAUAACCCAAAAAUCCACAUUCUUAAUAGUCUUAUAACUUUUUAGUUUUGUCCUCACUGGCCUCUAAGUUUUCUAGGAUGAUGCAAUGUCCAGCCAUCAACACAUUUGUAAAGGAAUUUUUACUCCCGAAAAGAGCGCCCCCCCAUGGCAGGAGAAAAAAGUCAAUUUUUUCUUGUCCCCUAAGGUGAAAAAACACAUUGUUGACUGUCACGCCUAUACGCUUUGUCAAAAUGACACAAAAUUUGACACACACGUGUAUCUCAAUAAGAUCUACGAAAAAGUCAAAGAGCGCGUAUCUGUAUAAUGUACGGUUAAAGGGCUAUUUUGCAUUUUUUGCCGAUUCGCACACAUUGGAAUGUGGCUAUCUCCUCCUAAGGCUUUCGUCCCACCGAUACCAAAUUUGCUCAGGGCAAUCUACACCCCAUGCCCAUUCAAAAUUGUAAAAAUCAUGACGCUGCACCCCACGGUUUACGUUCUAGGGGGCGCCAAAGAUGACCCAAAAAUCCACAUUCUUAAAAGUCUUUUUGGCCACUGCAGGAGUACAGAGUACUGCAGUUCUAGGGGGCGCCAAAGAUGACCCAAAAAUCCACAUUCUUAAAAGUCUUUUUGGCCACUGCAGGAGUACAGAGUACUGCAGGAUACACACACAUAUACACACACGCCAACAUACACACACACACACACAGACACACACACACACACUCAGAGUCUGUUUUUUAUCACCUUCAAAAACAUGCUGUUUACAUAUUUGACAAGAAUGCAGAGGCUUCCUUUUGCCCCUGAAAAAAAUCAAAUUUCAAACACAACUUGACUGUUCAUUUCUCCAAAAGACAACCAUGAAGCUCCAUUUCAAACCUGAAGCAAAUAGUUGGUGCAUGUGUACAGUAACCUGAGGGGAGUGAGGUGACUAUUUCUGAGGAGAACAUGAGCAGUGAAGAUUCACCUUGGAGCUAGAACAGGGACGUGCACAUGAUUAUACAGGGGCAGGGGCUCAAGUUUUUUCCAGUCAUUUAUACAAUAUGGAAAUUAAUGUGAAAUUAAAAAACAAAGUAUUAAUAGAAAGGUUAUGACUGUCCUGUGUAGAUGACAGUGAUAUCCAAUAGGCUAGGCACUCACGAGGCUGGCUGUGGCAAGUGUAAGUGAAAGCAACACGCACUGGCAGGAAGAACAGCAAACGCCGAUGAAGGAAAAGGGUCUUUGCAGUGAUGGGCGUUACCAGAGAGGGCGAUGGCCAGAGGAAACAAAUGGGACGGGGAGGCAGCGCGUUGGGGGGGGGGACGCGACACAGCUCGGGCCCGCCAGUGCCCCAACGGGGUCCUAGUUAGGGCCCGAGCGUAGCUGCUAAGCAGCUGCGAGAGCCCUAUUGUUCCUGUAUCGGUUUUUCUUUCUUCUUUCUUUCUUUCUUUCUUUCUUCUUAUUUUUCCUCCCCUUUGAACUGGAAAAAACUCACUUCCCACUGGCGAAAACUCAUGAAAUUUGGCAGGACGACCGGGCCUGGUGAAAAAUUCGAUAUUCUGAAGUCGCCUAAACAAUAAAAUGCAAAAUGGCUCCAUAGCGCCCCCAAAGGUGAAAAUUCACACCAUUGACUGUCACGCCUGUACGCUUUGUCAAAAUGACACAAAAUUUGACACACAUAUGUAUCUCAAUAAGAUCUACGAAAAAAUCAGCGCGGGCGUAUCUGUCAAAUGUACGGUUAAAGGUUUAUUUCGCAUUUUUUGCCGAUCCGCACACAUUGGAAUUUCGCUAACUCCUCCGAAGGCUUUUGUUCCACUGGCACCACAUUUGCUCAGGUCAAUCUACACCCCAUGGCCAUUAAAAGUUGUACAAAUCAUGACGCUGCACCCCGCGGUUUAGGUUCUAGGGGGCGCCAAAGAUGACCCAAAAAUCCACAUUCUUAAAAGUCUUAUAACUUUUUAUUUUUGUCCCCACUGGCCUUGAAGUUCUCUAGGAUGAUGCAAUGUCCAGCCAUCAACACAUUUGUGGAGGAAUUUUUACUCCCCAAAAGAGCGCCCCCCCAUGGCAGGAGAAAAAAGGCCAUUUUUUCUUGUCCCCUAAGGUGAAAAUACACAUUGUUGAGUGUCACACCUGUACGCUUUGUCAUAUUGACACAAAAUUUGACAAUCACGUGUAUCUCAAUAAGAUCUACGAAAAAGUCAAUGCGGGCGUAUCUGUCAAAUGUACGGUUAAAGGGCUAUUUCGCAUUUUUUGCCAAUUCGCACACAUUGGAAUGUGGCUAACUCCUCCUAAAGCUUUCGUCCCAUCAACACCAAAUGUGCUCAGGCCAAUCUACACCCCAUGGCCAUUCAAAGUUGUAAAAAUCAUGAUGCUGCACCCAACGGUUUACGUUCUAGGGGGCGCCAAAGAUAACCCAAAAAUCCACAUUUUCAAAAGUCUUAUAACUUUUUAUUUUUGUCCUCACUGGCCUCCAAGUUUUCUAGGAUAAUGCAAUGUUCAGCCAUUAACACAAUUGUGAAGGAAUUUUUACUCCCCAAAAGAGCGCCCCCCCAUGGCAGGAGAAAAAGUCAAGGUUUUCCUGCCCAUCGCUCAAUGGCUCAAACGCAUCGCUCUCUCGGCAAAACCGAAAGGAGGAGCAACUUGCCAUUUGGAUAUAUCCUAGCUGUGUUUGUGCCCUCACUCAUGGUCCAGACUUUUUUCAAAAAGGACAUGGAGUUUUUCUGCAGCGAGCAUUUUGGUAGAAACUGCGCCUCCCAUUCAUUAUAAUGGUAAAUGACCACAGACAAGUGCGCACACCAUCUUUGGACCUUGAGUGUGAGGCGAUCGGAAGGGGGGGCGGUCGCGAUGGGGGCGGCACAACACGGCUCGGGCCCGCCAGUGCCCCAACGGGGCCCUAGUCUUCUUAUUAGGGCCCGAGCGUAGCUGCUAAGCAGCUGCGAGAGCCCUCUUGUUCCUGAUGGAUUCUUCUUUCGUUAUUUUUCCUCCGCUUUAAACUGGAAAAUGGCCCACUUCCCACUGGCGAAAACUCAUGAAAUUUGGCAGGACGACCGGGCCUGGUGAAAAAUUCGAUAUUCUGAAGUCGCCCAAACAAUAAAAUGCAAAAUGGCUCCAUAGCGCCCCCUAAGGUGAAAAUUCACAUGCGGGCUGUACGCUUUGUCAAAAUGACACAAAAAUUGACACACACAUGUAUCUCAAUAAGAUCUACAAAAAAGUCAGUGCGGGCGUAUCUGUCAAAUGUACGGUUAAAGGGUUAUUUCGCAUUUUUUGCAGAUCUGCACACAUUGGAAUUUCGCUAACUCCUCCGAAGGCUUUCGUUCCACCGGCACCACAUUUGCGCAGGCCAAUCUACCCCCCAUGGCCAUUAAAAGUUGUACAAAUCAUCUUGCUGCACCCCACGGUUUAGGUUCUAGGGGGCGCCAAAGAUAACCCAAAAAUCCAAAGUGUUAAAAGUCUUAUAACUUUUUAUUUUUCUCCAAACUGGCCUCCAAGUUUUCUAGGAUGAUGCAAUGUCCAGCCAUCAACACAUCUGUGAACAAAUUUUUACUCCCCAAAAGAGCGCCCCCCCAUGGCAGGAGAAAAAAGUCCAUUUUUUCUUGUCCCGUAAGGUGAAAAUACACAUUUUUGAGUGUCACCCCUGUACCCUUUGUCAUAUUGACACAAAAUUUGACAAUAACGUGUAUCUCAAUAAGAUCUACGAAAAAGUCAAAGGGCACAUAUCUGUCAAAUGUACGGUUAAAGGGCUAUUUUGCAUUUUUUGCCGAUUCGCACACAUUGGAAUUUCGCUAACUCCUCCGAAGGCUAUCUUUCUACCGGCACCAAAUUUGCUCAGGCUAAUCUACACCCCAUGGCCAUUAAAAGUUGUACAAAUCAUGAUGCUGCCCUCCACGGUUUAGGUUCUAGGGGGCGCCAAAGAUAACCCAAAAAUCCACAUUCUUAAUAGUCUUAUAACUUUUUAGUUUUGUCCUCACUGGCCUCUAAGUUUUCUAGGAUGAUGCAAUGUCCAGCCAUCAACACAUUUGUAAAGGAAUUUUUACUCCCGAAAAGAGCGCCCCCCAUGGCAGGAGAAAAAAGUCAAUUUUUUCUUGUCCCCUAAGGUGAAAAAACACAUUGUUGACUGUCACGCCUAUACGCUUUGUCAAAAUGACACAAAAUUUGACACACACGUGUAUCUCAAUAAGAUCUACGAAAAAGUCAAAGAGCGCGUAUCUGUAUAAUGUACGGUUAAAGGGCUAUUUUGCAUUUUUUGCCGAUUCGCACACAUUGGAAUGUGGCUAUCUCCUCCUAAGGCUUUCGUCCCACCGAUACCAAAUUUGCUCAGGGCAAUCUACACCCCAUGCCCAUUCAAAAUUGUAAAAAUCAUGACGCUGCACCCCACGGUUUACGUUCUAGGGGGCGCCAAAGAUGACCCAAAAAUCCACAUUCUUAAAAGUCUUUUUGGCCACUGCAGGAGUACAGAGUACUGCAGUUCUAGGGGGCGCCAAAGAUGACCCAAAAAUCCACAUUCUUAAAAGUCUUUUUGGCCACUGCAGGAGUACAGAGUACUGCAGGAUACACACACAUAUACACACACGCCAACAUACACACACACACACACAGACACACACACACACACUCAGAGUCUGUUUUUUAUCACCUUCAAAAACAUGCUGUUUACAUAUUUGACAAGAAUGCAGAGGCUUCCUUUUGCCCCUGAAAAAAAUCAAAUUUCAAACACAACUUGACUGUUCAUUUCUCCAAAAGACAACCAUGAAGCUCCAUUUCAAACCUGAAGCAAAUAGUUGGUGCAUGUGUACAGUAACCUGAGGGGAGUGAGGUGACUAUUUCUGAGGAGAACAUGAGCAGUGAAGAUUCACCUUGGAGCUAGAACAGGGACGUGCACAUGAUUAUACAGGGGCAGGGGCUCAAGUUUUUUCCAGUCAUUUAUACAAUAUGGAAAUUAAUGUGAAAUUAAACCACAAAUAUGUGUGAUGAACUGUUUUUAAAACUUAAACUUCAAAUAAAAAUUGUAAACUUCAAAACAUAUGCAAAUUUUUAACAAAGAACAUAGUAAUUUACCUCUAUUUACAUCAAAAUGCAGGCAAUGGCCCAGGCGUUCUUUGUAAAAUUAUUUACAAAACACUGUAUAGUCUCACAAAUGUCACUUUUUAUUUAUGCCACUACAAAAAAACAUGAUGUAAAUGAUGCAUGAUGUAAAACAUGAUGUAAAAAACUUGUGUAGAUCCUCCUCUAUGUCAGUCCAUGUGUAAUUUUUCCAUAAUUCUUUGUUUUUUGCAGCAUUUUUGUUAGUGUAACUGCAGAUUGUGCUGACAGUGUCUAUGGCACAAAAAAAAAAAAUUUUAAAAUGCCUCAACAUGAACCCCUGGUGGUCUCUGAGGGUGAAACCUGCUAACUGCUGCAGCUCUGUCAGCUUCAGUCUCCCAUGCAGAGCUCUGAGUGCAUGUGUGGCUCUGCACCCUUAGCAGCGUUGCUAACUCCUCAGUAAGGAAAGCCUGCUUCAUGUCAGAGUCUCUAAACUCCAGAAGUCGAUAAAAGUCCCUUUCUUUCUAAAAAAAAGUCGUUAGGGGGUCUGAAAAGUCAUUGAAUCUAACAACAAAGUCGCUAGGUUUGCAACUACGUGUCCCAGACUGCAUCCCUGCUGAGAGUCCCUCCCUCCCUUCUCAUGUUGCAGGAAGAACGUAAGCGCCCGCCCCUUGUCAAUCAGUCACCAUAUAAUUUUGGAUUGGUUGUUGUGGUGAAGUUUUCCACCAAUAGGAGAGAUGUUGUGGUGUGUUUUUUUUUUUCUUUUGGCAAGCCUUUUCCGCCUGUAAGACCUGUCACUAAUGUCUGCAUGCUAUGUUUUCCUGUCUCAUACAGCGCGAUCGAGCGCCGAACGUGAUCAAAAUAAGCAGAAAAAAAGUAUCGCGGACAUAAUUUAUCAUAACUCUGGUUUUAUUUGGCCUAUCAACACAAUUUAAAAACUGGCUCGGGCCCGCCAGUGCCCCAACGGGGUCCUAGUUAGGGCCCGAGCGUAGCUGCUAAGCAGCUGCGAGAGCCCUCUUGUUCCUGAUGGAUUCUUCUUUAGGGCCCGAGCGUAGCUGCUAAGCAGCUGCGAGAGCCCUAUUAUUCCCCAAGUGGUUUUUCUUUGUUUCUUUCUUUCUUCUUUUUCCUCCCCUUUGAACUGGAAAAUGGCCCACUUCCCACUGGCGAA
RNAcentral lists this long non-coding RNA (20892 nucleotides) under Xyrichtys novacula (pearly razorfish). The record is from RNAcentral. Lineage: Eukaryota; Metazoa; Chordata; Actinopteri; Labriformes; Labridae.